GCAUCUAAGCGGGAAGCAGGCCCUAAGAUGAGUCAUCCCUGACUUUAAGUCAAUAAAGACCGUUGAAGACUACGACGUUGAUAGGCUGGAUGUGGAAGCACCGUGAGGUGUGUAGCUUGCCAGUACUAAUUGUCUGAACGUCUUGACCAUACAACCCCGGAAG
Molecule: ribosomal RNA, 163 nt
Filed under: Succinivibrio sp.
Lineage: Bacteria; Pseudomonadati; Pseudomonadota; Gammaproteobacteria; Aeromonadales; Succinivibrionaceae
Description: partial 23S ribosomal RNA
Rfam family: Bacterial large subunit ribosomal RNA
Source: RNAcentral